This 253-nucleotide ribosomal RNA is filed under the name uncultured bacterium. RNAcentral's name for it is "partial 16S ribosomal RNA". It matches the Rfam family "Bacterial small subunit ribosomal RNA", at positions 524 to 776 of the family's 1533-position model. The record is from RNAcentral.
UACGUAGGGUGCGAGCGUUGUCCGGAAUUACUGGGCGUAAAGAGCUCGUAGGCGGUUUGUCGCGUCGUCCGUGAAAACUUGGGGCUCAACCCCAAGCUUGCGGGCGAUACGGGCAGACUUGAGUACUGCAGGGGAGACUGGAAUUCCUGGUGUAGCGGUGAAAUGCGCAGAUAUCAGGAAGAACACCCGUGGCUAAGGCGGCUCUCUAGUACGGUACUGACGCUGAGACGUGAAAGCGUGGGGAGCGAACAGG